This 224-nucleotide ribosomal RNA is filed under the name Salinisphaera sp. G21_0. RNAcentral describes it as "partial 23S ribosomal RNA". It matches the Rfam family "Bacterial large subunit ribosomal RNA", at positions 2707 to 2925 of the family's 2925-position model. The record is from RNAcentral. Lineage: Bacteria; Pseudomonadati; Pseudomonadota; Gammaproteobacteria; Salinisphaerales; Salinisphaeraceae.
CACUGGUGUUCGGGUUGUGUCGCCAGACGCAUUGCCCGGUAGCUAUGUUCGGACGGGAUAACCGCUGAAAGCAUCUAAGCGGGAAGCCCCCUUCAAGAUGAGACUUCCCUUGCCCCCUGAGGGCACUAAAGAGCCGUUAAAGACUAUGACGUUGAUAGGUUGGGUGUGUAAGUGCUGUGAGGCAUUGAGCUAACCAAUACUAAUGACUCGUGCGGCUUGACCAU